AGCGGGGGACUCGCAAGAGCCUCGCGCGAUUGGAGCGGCCGAUAUCAGAUUAGCUAGUUGGCGGGGUAAAAGCCCACCAAGGCGACGAUCUGUAGCUGGUCUGAGAGGACGACCAGCCACACUGGAACUGAGACACGGUCCAGACUCCUACGGGAGGCAGCAGUGGGGAAUUUUGGACAAUGGGCGAAAGCCUGAUCCAGCAAUGCCGCGUGCAGGAUGAAGGCCUUCGGGUUGUAAACUGCUUUUGUACGGAACGAAACGGUCUGCCUUAAUACGGUGGGCUAAUGACGGUACCGUAAGAAUAAGCACCGGCUAACUACGUGCCAGCAGCCGCGGUAAUACGUAGGGUGCGAGCGUUAAUCGGAAUUACUGGGCGUAAAGCGUGCGCAGGCGGUUAUAUAAGACAGAUGUGAAAUCCCCGGGCUCAACCUGGGACCUGCAUUUGUGACUGUAUAGCUAGAGUACGGUAGAGGGGGAUGGAAUUCCGCGUGUAGCAGUGAAAUGCGUAGAUAUGCGGAGGAACACCGAUGGCGAAGGCAAUCCCCUGGACCUGUACUG
This 558-nucleotide ribosomal RNA is filed under the name uncultured bacterium. RNAcentral describes it as "bacterial SSU rRNA". It matches the Rfam family "Bacterial small subunit ribosomal RNA", at positions 202 to 742 of the family's 1533-position model. The record is from RNAcentral.